Molecule: ribosomal RNA, 494 nt
Filed under: uncultured bacterium
Lineage: Bacteria
Description: partial 16S ribosomal RNA
Rfam family: Bacterial small subunit ribosomal RNA
Source: RNAcentral
GACGAACGCUGGCGGCGCGCUUAACACAUGCAAGUCGAACGGAAAGGCCUGCUUUCCCUUGUGGAUUGCGGGUACUCGAGUGGCGAACGGGUGAGUAACACGUGAGUGAUCUGCCCCCAACUUGGGUAUAAGCCUGGGAAACUGGGUCUAAUUCCCGAUAGGACUGCAGGGUGGUGCCUGUGGUGGAAAACGAUUUUCUAGUGGUUGGGGAUGAGCUCGCGGCCUAUCAGCUUGUUGGUGGGGUAAUGGCCUACCAAGGCGGCGACGGGUAGCCGGCCUGAGAGGGUGGACCGCAACGUUAGGACUGAGAUACAGCCAAGACUCAUACGGGAGGCAGAAGUGGGGAAUAGUGCACAAUCGGCAGAAGAAUGAUGCGGCGACGCAGGGUGGGAGAUGACGGCCUUCGGGUUGUAAACUCCUUACGAGCGAGAGGAAGCCAAGUGGUUGGAAGGGUGGUGACGGUAGUGGUAGAAGAAGCACCGGCUAACUACGUG